This 85-nucleotide transfer RNA is filed under the name Felis catus (domestic cat). It matches the Rfam family "tRNA". From Rfam's summary of the family: Transfer RNA (tRNA) molecules are approximately 80 nucleotides in length. Their secondary structure includes four short double-helical elements and three loops (D, anti-codon, and T loops). Further hydrogen bonds mediate the characteristic L-shaped molecular structure. tRNAs have two regions of fundamental functional importance: the anti-codon, which is responsible for specific mRNA codon recognition, and the 3' end, to which the tRNAs corresponding amino acid is attached (by aminoacyl-tRNA synthetases). tRNAs cope with the degeneracy of the genetic code in two manners: having more than one tRNA (with a specific anti-codon) for a particular amino acid; and 'wobble' base-pairing, i.e. permitting non-standard base-pairing at the 3rd anti-codon position. RNAcentral also lists the same sequence under 3 other names. Lineage: Eukaryota; Metazoa; Chordata; Mammalia; Carnivora; Felidae. The record is from Rfam by way of RNAcentral.
GCCUGGGUGGCUCAGUCGGUUGAGCGUCCGACUUCGGCUCAGGUCAUGAUCUCACAGUCUGUGGGUUCGAGCCCCACGUCGGGCU